This 2334-nucleotide long non-coding RNA is filed under the name Arabidopsis lyrata. Its description in RNAcentral is "long non-coding RNA (ALYR_LNC001640)". The record is from RNAcentral. Lineage: Eukaryota; Viridiplantae; Streptophyta; Magnoliopsida; Brassicales; Brassicaceae.
AAAAUACAUAAAAGUAUUACUACAUUAUCCAUUUUUUACAUAACAUCAUACAAAGUUUUAAACAAAAUAAAGCUAACAUCUCCUUUAUAUGUUUCGCCUUCCCAUAUCAUCCCCGUCCAUAAUCUCUGUAAUCAUGUGUACAAAAGCAUCAACAUAUAUCACAGUCUUCAAUCUUGUUUCCUCAAUAGUUUUUAUCUUAAAAUCAAUGCUGCAUCAAACGCCAAAAAUUUAACAAAUUCAGAGAGACAUCUAGAAGAAAAUAAAGAGAUAACUCAUACAUAUAUCAGUCUCUAAUUUUUUUUACAUGGUAAAGAGAUUCAAACUCAAUAGUGGUGAUGAAGCUCAUGGUAAUAAUAUUAAACAAAGAGGAUGCUAAACUAAUCCAUGUAUAUAAACCAAAUAACGAUAAACACACCACACCAUAGUAAACACACCACACCAUAGAAAACACAACAGUUUUAAAAUCAUCAGAAUAAAGAAAAGAAAAAAGCAAGGUAUUUAUAUUCUUAUAUUCUUAAGAAAAAAGCAUUCGUCCUCAACAUGUCCCACCUCUUUCUUAACAGCUCCUAAAGAUGAAGAAGAAUUGAUUUCCACUACCUGUUCUUGUAUAUUCUGCUCAGCUAUCUGUAAUAACAUUAAAACAAAGGUAUUUGGAGCAGCAGAGUAUUAACAUUAUUUCCACUUGUCUUAUAAACUGAUCUCUUCAUAUCACAAAGAGAAUACAUAACUACAAAAGACAACCUAUGUUUUUAUCAAAAUGUAAAACUAAUUAAGAUGUUAGAAAUAUCAAAAGCACCUGAAUUAUCCUUCCUUGUUCUUUAUUUUGCUAACCAUCAAGUCAUCCACAAAAAAUCCAUAAUAUCAAACGGAGAAAUUAACCAAACCAAGCACUAAAAUUCAAAUGUACAUGUCAUGCGAGGAAGAUACAAUGUUAAAUUAAGAAACUUAAUUAGUGUUAGAAGUACCUCGUGAACAAAUUUUGAUCUAAUCUUUUGCCUUAUAUUCAUCCUGUCAAACAAACAAAUACAGAAACAUUAAUUAAUGCUUAAGAAACAAAUCUGUUUUAUCACCAAUCUAAACAUUGGUUUCUACAAAUAAGUGAUUUGGACUAGAAAAAUGAAACCAAAUCUGAACUUAAUUGACAGAUGAUGCACUUUCUAUAUUCAAGUGGUGUAUCUAAACGAAAUGGUUUGACUUUCUGGAGACAGCUUUUGAUUUGUUUAUAACCCACAAAACAAACACAACACUCAAGAACAUAGAGACAUCAUCAUCAGCUUAUGGCACGUUCAAUAUUUGUCUAAGCCGUAUAAGCAUUGCAAGAAUAUAGAAUAUUGAGAGAAGUAUACUAGCCUGGCUCCACCAAGUGAACCAUCCAUGAAGCAUAGUGAUUUGAAUUAAUUUUCAGAUUCUUGGUCACACAAUAAGAAAAUAUUAGUUAAAAUCUGUGGGCUUUAAAUAGCUAAUGAACUAAGAAUUACAGUAAAAAAAUAUUGCUCACCUCAAAGUGUCAUUUCAUAGGAUUAGAGACUCCAAGGAUAUAGUCCACCAUUUUAGACUACAAAAGCAAAGGUCAAAUUUUUACACUCAAUUAGCAAACAUGAAAGAUCAUCAUAGGAAGACAUGUUGAGAGAGUCGUUUCUUAGUUUGUCUCACAGUCAAUUCGUCGAACACCUUGUAUGCACAGAGAACUCUAAAAACGUAACCCCUUAGAAAUACAGUGAAUAAAAUCAAUUUCAAAACAACAAAUCAAAGCACGCAUAAAUUUACAAGCAUGAGAGACGAGAAAGUGGAAGCAUACCAGGCUAUUGGUGGAUUUCAUCUCCUUGACAACUUCCUGGACAAUGAAGACGGGAGAUCUACGAACAGUGGAGGAGUCAUUGAGUCUGCGGGAAGAUGAAGGAACUUACUCGAAUCAAGGAAAUAGAGGGUCAUGACCCAAUCAUUUAUGUAGUGAUCGCUUCAGUUUAGCCGCCGCUUCAAGUCCUUUCUGCUUCCGUUGCUUCCUCCCAACACGAGCAGGUGGUGAGACUCGUUCGAACUUCUUCUCCUUCUUGUCACCAUCAUCUGGUUUCCGGUCUCCUUACCGAUUCAAUUCAUCUUGUGCGAAUUCAUCUCCUUGACACAUCAAUUCAAUCCAUAAGGCUUAAUUUCAUCAAGAAGUGAAGAAGAGAAGGGAGGGAGGAGAAGAAGAUGUGGAGAGAAGACGAGGAGGAAUAGGCUAGUACCUUUAACGGUGGAAGACGGAGGAGACGAGGCCAUGUCAACGGAGAAGGUAUGUGGCUAGGCGGUGGUGUGGAUCUAGAGAUGAGAGAACUUUUUUAGAAAAGAAGAAGA